UUGUGCUUAGUUUGUUUAGAAGCCAUCGUCAUCUUCGCUACCACUUCGUCUUCUUCCCUCCGAUCCCGUAGAAACCGAUCCCCCUCUACACAAUCAAUCCCAUCCUUUACUUUGAUCAAUCAAUUUCGUCUUGAUGAUUUUGUUUCAGCUCCCUCUGUUCCUCCUUCUUUAUAUACUGAUCCUCUUUUCUUUGUACAAACCCAAACCCUGUUUAUAUGAUCAUUUUUCACUGAUUUAAAUCUCAGCUUUCUGCCGGCAAAUGUUCUGUCGCCUUCCAUUUCAACGACGUCUCACCAGGACCUGCCGAGUCAGAGCUUCGAUUUUGGCUAAUCCAGUUGUGGGAUGGAUCCUUAGAACCAGGGGAGGGGGGGUCUAGGUUCCUGCUUUGAAAGAAUCGGUUUCACGUAUUCUAGAUUGUUAAGAGUUCUGGCGUUUUCUUCAAAUAUGCUGCAUCCGGUUAAGCUCAUGAUCUGAAUGAUACCCAGUUUACUAAACUGGAUGAGCUCUUCACUCAGACCCAACUCUACUCUGAAUUUCUUCUUGAGAAAAUGGAGGAUAUCACAAAAAAUGGGACAGAAGGUGAGACCCAAAAAGCUGAGCCCGAGAAGAAAGGAGGUCGUGGACGCAAAAGAAAUGCCGCUACUCAGGUGCUGUGGAGAUGAGAUGGGUUCAUACAUAUUUUCCAUUUACUGAGCUUUCGAGCUUGAGAUAUAUUUUUAAGGAAGACUGGUGAGAAGUUUCGGGCUGUGGGGUGACAGAACAAAGAAUUUUGAAGCAGAGUGGAUUAGAAAAUAAUGUUGCUUGGGACUUUGGACUUGGACUUAAUAGAAAGACUCGAAAAAGACCUGCAAUUACAUACCUUUGAACCCUCGCCGUUGCUACAAGUAUACUAAGAAUUUGUAACUGAAUGAUUUUGUAAAUUAAUUCACUUCCAGAGGAGGCGUUGCAUGGCUUGAAUUUGACAACCAGGGAGUAUUCUAUCUGUCACAUGAUCAGGAUGCUUGACCGUUCAUGACUUUGACACUCAAUAUUACCGCAGAAGAUAAUGCCAAGGCAGUUGGAAUACCUGUUAAGGAGUUGAAAGUGUUCUCCAAGAUCUUUUAAAGGAGAUCACCAUGCUUUUAACCUUUAACAAACUUCAGUGAAAAUUAGCAGCUUUACAAGUGUGGGGAUACAAAGUCUGCAAGAGGUAUUAUGCCCUGCGAGAACUUAAGAAACUGAUUGAGGUGGCAGAGAAGCUCCGUGAGAAGAGGUGGCCUUGAAAAUUCUGUUUAGAUUAGUUUCUGGUUUAGAUUGAGUUAGAUUUCUUUUUUUUAAUUUGGUUUAGUGUAAACAUAUUAUUUUGGUUUAG
Molecule: long non-coding RNA, 1351 nt
Organism: Brassica oleracea var. oleracea
Lineage: Eukaryota; Viridiplantae; Streptophyta; Magnoliopsida; Brassicales; Brassicaceae
Exons: 9
Source: RefSeq, a predicted model, not a curated record